Molecule: non-coding RNA, 180 nt
Filed under: Anaerostipes sp. 494a
Lineage: Bacteria; Bacillati; Bacillota; Clostridia; Lachnospirales; Lachnospiraceae
Also listed under: 2 other names
Description: 6S / SsrS RNA
Rfam family: 6S / SsrS RNA
About the family: E. coli 6S RNA was the first non coding RNA to be sequenced, but its function was unknown until recently. It consists of 184 nucleotides that fold into an extended hairpin structure with a large single-stranded internal bulge.
Source: Rfam by way of RNAcentral
AAAAGCCUGGGGUGUGCGAUAACUUGCUAUUUUGAACCUACAUUUACUUGUCACGGGACAUCGUAUAAUGAACUGGAUGUCAUGCCCUCUUUUUGUAAGGGACGGCAGAAGGUUUGUUGAGAUGACCCACCUAGCUUAGCUAGGCGUCAAAAUUGCGAGACCGGCAUUCCCGGGUAUUAC